AGAGUUUGAUCAUGGCUCAGGAUGAACGCUAGCUACAGGCUUAACACAUGUAAGUCGAGGGGAAACGACAUCGAAAGCUUGCUUUUGAUGGGCGUCGACCGGCGCACGGGUGAGUAACGCGUAUCCAACCUGCCCACCACUUGGGGAUAACCUUGCGAAAGUAAGACUAAUACCCAAUGACGUCUCUAGAAGACAUCUGAAAGAGAUUAAAGAUUUAUCGGUGAUGGAUGGGGAUGCGUCUGAUUAGCUUGUUGGCGGGUAACGGCCACCAAGGCGACGAUCGAGUAGGGGUCUGAGAGGAAGGUCCCCCANAUUGGAACUGAGACACGGUCCAAACUCCUACGGGAGGCA
This 351-nucleotide ribosomal RNA is filed under the name uncultured bacterium. RNAcentral describes it as "bacterial SSU rRNA". It matches the Rfam family "Bacterial small subunit ribosomal RNA", at positions 8 to 350 of the family's 1533-position model. The record is from RNAcentral.